This 211-nucleotide unclassified non-coding RNA is filed under the name soil metagenome. Its description in RNAcentral is "partial contains 5.8S ribosomal RNA, internal transcribed spacer 2, and large subunit ribosomal RNA". The record is from RNAcentral.
AACCUUAUGGACCUGCGGGCGUAUACCUGCGGAAGGAUCAUUAUCGAGUUGCAAAACUCCAACCCUUUGUGAACAUACCUCAGUCGUUGCUUCGGCGGUGGACGGCCUGUUUUUCGGAACGGCCGGAAGCCGCCGGAGGUUCCAAACUCGUAUUUUUUUAGUGUAUCUCUGAGCCUGAAAACAAAUAAUCAAAACUUUUAGCAAUGGAUCU